RNAcentral lists this ribosomal RNA (482 nucleotides) under uncultured bacterium. RNAcentral's name for it is "partial 16S ribosomal RNA". It matches the Rfam family "Bacterial small subunit ribosomal RNA", at positions 30 to 507 of the family's 1533-position model. The record is from RNAcentral.
AUUGAACGCUGGCGGCAUGCCUUACACAUGCAAGUCGAACGGUAACGGGCCUUCGGGUGCCGACGAGUGGCGAACGGGUGAGUAAUACAUCGGAACGUGCCCGAUCGUGGGGGAUAACGAGGCGAAAGCUUUGCUAAUACCGCAUACGAUCUACGGAUGAAAGCAGGGGACCGCAAGGCCUUGCGCGGACGGAGCGGCCGAUGGCAGAUUAGGUAGUUGGUGGGAUAAAAGCUUACCAAGCCGACGAUCUGUAGCUGGUCUGAGAGGAUGAUCAGCCACACUGGGACUGAGACACGGCCCAGACUCCUACGGGAGGCAGCAGUGGGGAAUUUUGGACAAUGGGCGCAAGCCUGAUCCAGCCAUGCCGCGUGCAGGAUGAAGGCCUACGGGUUGUAAACUGCUUUUGUACGGAACGAAAAGCCUUCUUUUAAUACAGGAGGGUCAUGACGGUACCGUAAGAAUAAGCACCGGCUAACUACGUG